This 526-nucleotide long non-coding RNA is filed under the name Taeniopygia guttata (zebra finch). RNAcentral's name for it is "lncRNA (ENSTGUG00000020923.1)". Lineage: Eukaryota; Metazoa; Chordata; Aves; Passeriformes; Estrildidae. The record is from RNAcentral.
UGACAUUUCAGUGAAAUAUCAGUUUCCUUCCAGACACUAUUAAGUUCCAAGCAGAGGAAGUACAGAGAAAUACAACCAGCUGGCUUCUGUGAGAAGAAGUGGCUGUGCCUAACUUUGGUUACCUCUCUGUAUUCAGAGGGCAAUCAUAGCUCCUCUCUGCUUUCAUCUUAGAGACAAACUGUUCUUUCAUUCUUCUCCUGCAAGACAGUUCAAUUCUCCUGCUCGUCCCAGUAAUGCACCUCUCCAUAUCUGUUUCUAUCCAAUUUCAACUUCCUGGAGCACAAUUGACCAGACUCACUGGUUUUUUGUCCCAUGUGAAGUUCAUUAAAUAGAUUGGCCUGAAACUUCUUUUACAGAUCUACAAAAGCUUGAAGAUCAGUCAGAAAAAGAAACUCUGACUUCCCUGAGACAGUCAGACAGACAAACAGUGGAACAAAAAAUGCCAGUGAAGUGAGUUGCUGUUUAUGGCUAUUUUUAAUGGUAGGAGAUUUAUGUGACGGGAUGACCAAGUUUGAAUAAUCUGCAC